UUCAUAACUGAUUUCCAUUUCGGCUUAGCUAUGAGCUCACAUUUGCCAAUGACAGUGUUCCAGACAGUUUUAUCAUCCACUUGCUGACCUGGAAGAUGCAUCAUUGUCUAAGAUAUCUGCAAUGGAAAUGAUCACUAGGCAAUUUCAGCCUUGCAAACCUAACCACUGAGAAACCCUGGCACCAGUAGGUGCACGUGAAGUGUUUGCUGAAUUCAUGAGAGCUGCUGCAGUCCCGGAAGCUCUGAGAGUGUCCGGAGAGGGACAGGAAUCUUCUCUUUCGGCAGAAGUCACCUUUUCACUCCACUUGCGAAGGGCAUCACAUGGAAAGACAGCCCAGAGACAAGGUUUCACCAUAUUGUCCAGGCAGAUCCUGAACUCCUGGGCUAAAGCAGUCCCCUGCCUCAGCCACUCAAAAUGCUGGAAUUACAGAUGUGAGCCACUGUGCCUGAUCCCAAAAAGAACAAGAGCUGCUCUUAGCCAGAAAAGUGCCAGAUGGUACUGAGGAAUCAGACUCAUACUAUUCCAGAGCAAUGUCAUCUGCAGAAGAGAGCCAGUAGCUGAUUGACAGAGACGACGCCCUUGUUGUUUUUAUGGAAGUCAAGAUGUCCUGUGUCUAUCACUAGACCUGUUCUUCUAUAAUUGGCUUGGGUCUCAAGCUCUCUUUGGAACGUUAUUCUAGAAAUUUGGGGGAUGCGUGCAACUUUUCCCUUGCUUCUGAAAUGAUAACUCUGCAUUCAUUCUCCACCAUCAUUAAUCAUGCAUAGCUGUGCUCAUUGGGGCAAUGUUUUGAGAACCGAUGGAGGAACAAGAUCUUAUUAGCACUGCUUUCCAUGGUUUAUCACUUACGGCCAAUGUCACACAGGAUUUUCAACCAGGAUGGGAACGCCCAGCAGCUGGAAGCCCAGCUGCCAAUUCAUCAAUUUGAGAAGCAUGAGGCAAGGCCAGAUUUAAUUGCACAGUGAAAGGCAGUUCUACCCAGAAGCCACUGCAGGAGGCUGUGCUCUGCUAGGGAAGAGCCUACUCUACUGAUCCAGUCUGUUCAUUUUGCAGAAAAGCCCCUUGAGGCCCAGAGAGCAUCCUCAGGUUCCCAAAAGCAAACAAGGAGGUUGGGAAGAGGAAACCUGGAGGAAAUAAGCUAAAACCAAUCAAACACAGGCCUUGAAUCAGCUGGACAUGGAUGCAAAUCCAAGCUCUGACCCUCCCGAGCUAUGUGACCUUGAGCAAGCCACUAGAUCUUGACCUCUCUUGGUUUCCUGCUCCAUAAAAGGAUGAUAAUGUUGGCUACUCAGCAAUGUUUUCUAAUUAGGCUAAAAGGAAAUGAAUAUGAAAUAGAAAGUGGCCAAUACAUGGAAGCCCACGUUUCCUAUGUGGAGCCAACUGAAACAUCAUAUGCUGUUUGGCGUCUGCACACUGAAUGGCUGAACGUGAAUCAGCAAUGUUGUGCAACUUUCAGAAAAACCAAGGUGUGUCCAUGGGAGAACUAACAGGAAUGAAGAAUUUACCACCCCAAGAGAGGUUCUCAUUAUUUCCAAAUUAGCCAAAACUCACCAGCAUGUUCUGUUGACCUCUGGACAUCACAUAACAGUGUCAUAGGAGUUAUACGGGGCCCAGGAAAUGAAGGUGGGGGUGAAGUCGGAGGAAGAAAAGGUCACAAGGAAAGAGCCAAGGCUUUGAACGAGACUAAAAAGAGAAAGCACAGAAGAGAGACGAACACGAUUUUUGGUAUAAAAAAGGCAUUCAUGGUGAUGAAAUGGGCCCCAUCUCCAUUGAGGAAAAUAAGAGGAGGCGAGGAAGAUGAAGCCACAGCACAGAACAUGAAGUGGCAAAGCAAGGAAAAUUUUCCAGUGAAUGCCUAGAAGAUCAAUGGCCUGGCAGGGGGUUCACAAGGAUCAAGGGCCCCCUGUUCUCCAGUGGCAGAGCUUGUGCCCAAACUCAGCUUCCCGAGGACUGUGCCCCUUCCCUGCCUAUGCAGCACUGAAUCCAGCAUCUUGCAAGGUCUCCGGGUACAAACGUGAAUGUUCUCUGACAGCUUUGCCUACAGCUGGAACAUAUAACUGGAUGGCAGGUGCUAACAUUUCAUCUGAUCAUUCUUCACAACCAAGGCUGUUUUUGACUCUCAAUCUAAGAAGACAGGAAGGCAAUACCGCUUUCCCAGAGCACAGACAUGCGGUGUGUCUGCUCAAGUGCAGCUCUUCCUGGGAUGAUGACAGAGCAGAUACUAUGUGUCCCUUCUCGCCGAUCUUGGCGUCUAAUUCCCUCUUUCACAAAGCCUGUUCCUUCACCUUUAUCACACAUUCUGGUGGGGAUCUCCUUUUGCUCAUUACUCUAUUACUCCUCACUAGAGAGAAUGUAUUCAAAUGAGAGUCAAAGUGACUGCUAAACAACAUCUAUGUGAACUUGGAAUAAGAAUCCGUUUAAUUACCCAGCAUUCUUAGUUAAGCAGCUCCUGAUAACACAGCGUUGAAAAUCAUUUUCACAUAAAUAUAGGAAAGUAGCAAAUUCAAGUAAAGAAUGUAAAAGUACUCCAGUCCUACUUUCCAGCUUAAAUAAAAUCAGGGUAACCACUUAAGACAUACUGUGUUUGCCUGUGACCGUGGUCCCAUUGCCAGGAAAGGUUCCCUGAUUCUUCUGCUGACUUUUUGCACUGCAGUUGUUUUUCCACUCUGAAUUGUUGCCAGUACUAUUUUUCUUUCUUUUUUUUUUUUGAGACGGAGUUUCGCUCUUGUUACCCAGGCUGGAGUGCAAUGGCGCGAUCUCGGCUCACCGCAACCUCUGCCACCUGGGUUCAGGCAAUUCUCCUGCCUCAGCCUCCCUAGUAGCUGGGAUUACAGGCAUGUGCCACCAUGCCCAGCUAAUUUUUUUGUAUUUUUAGUAGAGACGGGGUUUCACCAUGUUGACCAGGAUGGUCUUGAUCUGUUGACCUUGUGAUCCACCCGCCUUGGCCUCCCAAAGUGCUGGGAUUACAGGCUUGAGCCACCGCGCCAGGCCCAGUAUUAUUUUUCAUGUGUAUAUUUUCAUUCCUCUUAAAUUACUUCAUAAGUGUAUGUUUGAUUUUCUUAGUGUAUAAGCAUCCCAGGGUCAAGAACUACAUCUUAUUUAUUUUGUAUCUCUCCACAGUAGACAUUAAAUAACUGAUUUUUAAAACUAUAUUAUUAUGGUUAGAAUAAAAAUAUCUUGUUUGAAAAAUGUCCAAACCCAAUGUCCAAGUAUUGGGAAAAAAUAAGUAAAACCAAUAAUUAUGUUUCUUUUUACCCAUUCAUUCCUACAGAUAAUUUAUGAUAUUUGUCAAAUACAGGCAUGAAUUAUUUUGUGGAUCUUGGUAUCUUUAGAGAGGCAACAAAGUCCACAUUUUUUAUUGUCUCUUUGUCUCAUUUCAGGAAUCAGUUUUUUGAAUUUUGAUGGAGGCUGCUAAUGCCUCCUCUGUAGCUAUUAUGAUGAGGGCUUCCAAAUAUACUGUCUUAUGUCGUUCUCACAUGGCUACAGGGAAAUACCCAAGACUGAGUAAUUUAUGAAGGAAAGGGGUUGAAUUCACUUACAAUUCUGUAUGGCGGGGAAGGCCUCAGGAAACUUACAAUCAUUGUGGAAGGUGAAGGGGAGGCAGGCACCUUCUUCAUAAGGCGGCAGGAGAAUGACUGCAGGAGGAACUAGCAACACUUAUAAAGCCAUCAGAUCUCAUGAGAACUCACUGUCAUGAGACCAGCAUGAGGGAAAUAGCUGCAUGAGUCAGUUACCUCCACGUGGUCUCUCCCUUGACUUGGGGAUUAUGGGGAUACAAUUUAAGAUGAGAUUUUGGGUGGGGACACAGCCAAAUCAUAUCACAUACUUACUCAUCCUACUGCAUUUUUAAUUAGGAACAGAUUCAAAUCAGAGAAAUGUAUUAGUGAGAACGGGAGGUAGUUAUUCCUCUCUUCUCAAGUUUGUGUGAGCAUAAAUAGGGGGAACCAUCCCUGAUCUUUGGGUAGUGUCCAUUAGCCUUUCAAGGUAUGCUUGAAACUCCCUCAGAUUUUACUUUGGCACGGAGGACAGGCUCACCAAAUGUUUUCACAUGGUAAUAUCGCUAAAUAAAACAGAAAGCCACCACUAAAUAAACACACAGCUUCAGAAAUAGAGCUUUACCACAAAGCACUUAGCCAGCAUGGAUUUUUAAAUGCAUGUUAUAGAUGUACUGAUGCAGUGAACCUAUUAAACCUUAAGAUGUUUAAAUUAGAUUUUGGAAUCAAAUAUUACUCGUCAGUAAUCCAAGGAUUUUUAUCCCCCCUCCAGAAGUUUGAUUUAAUGAAAAAAAAAUUCCAAACUUAUGUUUCUUUUAAAGUGAAAGCAAGUUUAUUAAGAAAGUAAAGGAAUGAAAGACUGAAUUAUUCAUGAGUUUUCUGGGAAGGGUUGGCAAUUUCCCCGGAACUGAGGGUUCCUACCCUUUUCAAACCAUAUAGGGUAACUUCCUGAUGUUGCCAUGGCAUUUGUAAACUGUCAUGGUGUGGUGGGAGUGUCUUUUAGCAUGCUAAUGCAUUAUAAUUAACAUAUAAUGAGCAGUGGGGAUAACCAGAGGUCACUUUUAUCGCCAUCUUGGUUUUAGUGGGUUUUGGCCAGUUUCUUUACUGCAACCUGCCAUAGUUAUUUUGAUUGCCUUUCUUGCAUCUAGUUUGGUGAACAAACUAGUUUUUGGUAUCUACACUAUCUUUAUGUUGAAACAUGGGCGUUUCAAGAUGAGAAAAGGCUGGGAGAGCAGGAAAGGGAGAAGGAGAAUGAGAAAGAUUGCAAAGAAAGGAAGGAAGAAAGGGAGAAAGGAAAGCCAAGAAUUGGAAGAAGGGGUUUGAGGAAUGCAAGAAUACAGAGGAGGAUGGAAGAGAAAGACUAGUCUGGGAAAGUUUCUCUAAACCUAUAGGAACUGGGCAAUUACAUCGAAAAUGUCUCAGAUGAAUAGCCCAGGAACUCUUUGUUAGAAAGAUGAGCACAGAUUGCCCGUGCUUUUGUGAGCAGAGGUCAUACUCCCUUUCUAAGCAGCCCCUAUGUGGAUUUUGUGGGCAUGGCCCUCCUCUGUAGAAGAUGCUGAUGCUACUCGAUAUGUUUCCCUUUGGUUCUUCUGCCAUAUUCUUGCAUGGCUUUCACUCCCCACAGCCAGCAUCAUUGAGUCUCCUUGUCUGAGGACCACAACUGUUCUUGGGCUAUAAUGACACCUUCAACUAGGCUUCCUCUCCACAUUCUGAAAGCUGGAAGUGCCCGGGAACAUACAUCCUCAUCUAAUUCCCCAUGGUUGUCCUUGAUGGGGGGUAGCUGAUGGAUACAGUGUUAUCAGUAUUCCAGCUCUCUUGUCCCUUCAUCUCUGAGGUGUGAUUGCUGUGUCUCUAUAGUGUCCUCUGCAGGACUGAGCUGCCUUCCCUGCCUUUCUCCACUUCCCUAUGCCUCUCCUGGUUUCCUAAACUCACUUGCUAAUAAACCUGAUGAAACCCCAUCUCAGGGAUCUGGGAUCUUGAUCUAAGACAACCUGAUUCACCUACAAGCCAAGAUUAUUCCAACAACCAUUGAGAUGUUUCCUUGGUCCUCAGAAGUGACCCAACAGUGUGGAGGAUUUACUCUAUGUGUAGGUCUACAUUUGUAAUUAUAGGCUACAUUCCCGAAAUACAGUCUCCCUCUGCCCAUACUUUUCCCUUCCAGCACUUGGCUUCUUCACCACUUGUGUCCUGGAAUAUGUGGGCAUCUGUCUUGAACCACAUCCUUGGAGACCUCUGCCCUCACAGUCUCCUUGCCCCUCCCAGACUCUGUGUGGUUGCCAGAGCUCGGCUCCUUCUGCAAGUCUAGCAGGCAUUUUUCUUCAGACCUGGGUGUGCUUGGGAGUUGGCUCAAUUUUAGCACCCAUCCCUUUAACCACUGUCUGCUGGCAUCACCUCUGCUGGAAUGGGUUGGAGCCCACAGGAGCGAAAGGCAGAUUUCUUCACUCACAGCCUGUGGUUUGAAUACACAUUUAUUACCCAACCCAAGACAGAAGUUAGAAUUGGAGUUGGGGGGAGUGGGCACUGAAGUAGCACCUGAGUUUUUAUAAUUUUGAAAGAGGCAGCUGAGGUUAUGUUUUCUAGCCCUUGUGAUUUCAUAACAGGAAUGCUCUGAAGUUCUUGUGGCUCACCAUCUUCAGUGAAUCAGUUCUCAGGAAUCUAGUUUAGAGGGGGUCAUUUUUAAUCCAAAAGUACUAUUGAAAGUAUGUCUGGAUCUACUCAUUUCUUCUUCCACUUAUAUAAAAAGAGAAUGGACAAUCACGCUCCUUUUCAAAGUUAGAAAAUGGGAGUGGUGAUGACAAUUUGUCCUUAAUAAGGUUGUUCUGUAUGAAUCCAAGCUGGGGAUAGCUCUCUGCUGGUGGGUUUAUGGAACAGACAGAUGCAUCCCAUCAGGAAGCCAAUUGGAAGCACAAUUUCCUCUAAAAAACCCUGCAGUAUCUAUUGAGCACCUACUGUAUGCUCAGUAAUGUAGGGACAGGUGAUAUUGGUGCCAGUGGCGAUAUCUUAUAGUGACUUUAUUUGCUCUCCAGGAAUUACAUUGCUUGUAAAAUAUGUUAAUUUUGACAUCUUUGACCAAGAAAUUUUAUUGCAAAUAGUGACAUAAGAAAUCAUUCCUGGAUAGAGAAAUCUGAGAAUUUUAUUUAAGUUGUUGCAUUCUUGAAAUAAGCUGUCCGGUUAUGUUGGAGAUUCCCAUGUCAGUGGUCAGCUGCCUCCUUCUUAUCCUAGUUGCAGAAAAAUUGCCAUGAGCCAUGACUUUGGAGGGAGCUGUUUCUUUUUUUGUUUUAAUUAAUUUGUCCAUAGGUUAUUGGGGUACAGGUGGUGUUUGAUCACAUGAGUCCAUCAUCUGAGCCCCAAAUCUCCUUAAGAUGAUAAGCAACUUCAACAAAGUCUCAGGAUACAAAAUCAAUGUGCAGAAAUCACAAGCAUUCCUAUACACCAAUAACAGACUAACAGAGAGCCAAAUCAAGAGUGAACUCCCAUUCACAACUGCUACAAAGAGAAUAAAAUACCUAGGAAUACAACUAACAAAGGAUGUGAAGGACCUCUUCAAGGAGAACUACAAACCACUGAUCAAGAAAAUAAGAUAACACAAACAAAUGGAAAAACAUUCCAUGCUCAUGGUUAGGAAGAAUCAUUAUCAUGAAAACGGCCAUACUGCCUAAAGUAAUUUAUAGAUUCAAUGCUAUCCCCAUCAAGCUACCUCUGAUAUUCUUCACAAAACUAGAAAAAAACCACCUUAAACUUCAUAUAGAACCAAAAAAGAGCCCAUAUAGCUAAGACAAUCCUAAGCAAAAAGGACAAAGCUAGAUGCAUCACACUACCUGAAUUCAAAUUAUACUACAAGUCUACAGUAAUCAAAACAGCAUGGUACUGGUACCAAAACAGAGAUAUAGAUUAAUGGAACAGAACAAAGCCCUCAGAAGUAAUGCCACACACCUACAACCAUCUGAUCUUUGACAAACCUGACAAAAACAGGCAAUGGGGAAAGGAUUCCCUGUUCAAUAAAUGGUGUUGGGGAAACUGGCUAGCCAUGUGCAGAAAGCUGAAACUGGACCCCUUGCUUACACCUUAUACAAAAACUAACUCCAGAUGGAUUAAAGAUUUAAAUGUAAGAGCUAACACCCCAAAAAUCUAGAAGAAAACCUAGGCAAUACCAUUCAGGACAUAGGUACAUGACUAUGUUCUUUAGUGGUGAUUUGUGAGAUUUUGGUGCAUCCUUCAACUGAGAAGUAUACACUGCACCCUAUUUGCAAUCUUUUAUCCAUUACCACCCUCCCACUCUUCCCCCAGGUCCCCAGAGUUCAUUGUGUUAUUCUUAUGCCUUUGCAUCCUUGUAGCUUAGCUCCCACAUAUCAAUGAGAACACAUAUCAGUGAAAACAUACAAUGUUUGGUUUUCCAUUCCUGAGUUACUUCAUUUAAAAUAAUAGUCUCCAAUCUCAUCCAGGUCUCUGAGAACGCCAUUAAUUCAUUCCUUUCCAUGGCUGUUAAUAGUCCAUCAUAUAUGUAUACCACAGCGUCUUUAUCCACUUGUUGA
Callithrix jacchus (white-tufted-ear marmoset) is the source of this 8023-nucleotide long non-coding RNA. RefSeq lists it as uncharacterized. The record is from RefSeq and is a predicted model, not a curated record. Lineage: Eukaryota; Metazoa; Chordata; Mammalia; Primates; Cebidae.